CCUACGGGAGGCAGCAGUGAGGAAUAUUGGUCAAUGGACGAGAGUCUGAACCAGCCAAGUAGCGUGAAGGAUGACUGCCCUAUGGGUUGUAAACUUCUUUUGUCAAGGGACAAAAUCAGGCUCGAGAGCCUGACCGAGGGUACUUGAAGAAAAAGCAUCGGCUAACUCCGUGCCAGCAGCCGCGGUAAUACGGAGGAUGCGAGCGUUAUCCGGAUUUAUUGGGUUUAAGGGGUGCGUAGGCGGGCUGUUAAGUCAGCGGUAAAAGCCCGGGGCUCAACCCCGGCGAGCCGUUGAAACUGGCUGUCUUGAGAUGUCGAGAGGUAUGCGGAAUGCGCAGUGUAGCGGUGAAAUGCUUAGAUAUUGCGCAGAACUCCGAUUGCGAAGGCAGCAUACCGGCGGCGAUCUGACGCUGAGGCACGAAAGCGUGGGUAUCGAACAGGAUUAGAUACCCGAGUAGUC
RNAcentral lists this ribosomal RNA (459 nucleotides) under uncultured bacterium. Its description in RNAcentral is "partial 16S ribosomal RNA". It matches the Rfam family "Bacterial small subunit ribosomal RNA", at positions 338 to 795 of the family's 1533-position model. The record is from RNAcentral.